CAACCCUUGAGAGUGGCGAACGGGUGAGUAAUAUAUCGGAACGUGCCCAGUCGUGGGGGAUAACGUAGCGAAAGUUACGCUAAUACCGCAUACGAUCUAAGGAUGAAANCGGGGGAUCGCAAGACCUCGCGCGAUUGGAGCGGCCGAUAUCAGAUUAGGUAGUUGGUGAGGUAAAGGCUCACCAAGCCGACGAUCUGUAGCUGGUCUGAGAGGACGACCAGCCACACUGGGACUGAGACACGGCCCAGACUCCUACGGGAGGCAGCAGUGGGGAAUUUUGGACAAUGGGCGCAAGCUGAUCCAGCAAUGCCGCGUGCAGGAUGAAGGCCUUCGGGUUGUAAACUGCUUUUGUACGGAACGAAACGGUGAGCUCUAAUACAGUUUGCUAAUGACGGUACCGUAAGAAUAAGCACCGGCUAACUACGUG
This 427-nucleotide ribosomal RNA is filed under the name uncultured bacterium. RNAcentral describes it as "bacterial SSU rRNA". It matches the Rfam family "Bacterial small subunit ribosomal RNA", at positions 83 to 507 of the family's 1533-position model. The record is from RNAcentral.